RNAcentral lists this ribosomal RNA (230 nucleotides) under uncultured bacterium. RNAcentral describes it as "partial 16S ribosomal RNA". It matches the Rfam family "Bacterial small subunit ribosomal RNA", at positions 541 to 769 of the family's 1533-position model. The record is from RNAcentral.
UUAUCCGGAUUUACUGGGCGUAAAGCGUGCGUAGGUGGUCUUUUAAGUCGGAUGUGAAAUCCCUGAGCUUAACUUAGGAAUUGCAUUCGAUACUGGGAGACUAGAGUAUGGGGAGAGGAUGGUAGAAUUCCAGGUGUAGCGGUGAAAUGCGUAGAGAUCUGGAGGAAUACCGAUGGCGAAGGCAGCCAUCUGGCCUAAUACUGACACUGAGGUACGAAAGCAUGGGGAGC